CUCCUUUGACGUUAGCGGCGGACGGGUGAGUAACACGUGGGUAACCUACCUAUAAGACUGGGAUAACUUCGGGAAACCGGAGCUAAUACCGGAUAAUAUUUCGAACCACAUGGUUCGAUAGUGAAAGGUGGUUUUGCUAUCACUUAUAGAUGGACCCGCGCCGUAUUAGCUAGUUGGUAAGGUAACGGCUUACCAAGGCGACGAUACGUAGCCGACCUGAGAGGGUGAUCGGCCACACUGGAACUGAGACACGGUCCAGACUCCUACGGGAGGCAGCAGGU
RNAcentral lists this ribosomal RNA (281 nucleotides) under uncultured Staphylococcus sp. Its description in RNAcentral is "partial 16S ribosomal RNA". It matches the Rfam family "Bacterial small subunit ribosomal RNA", at positions 81 to 354 of the family's 1533-position model. The record is from RNAcentral. Lineage: Bacteria; Bacillati; Bacillota; Bacilli; Caryophanales; Staphylococcaceae.